This 724-nucleotide small RNA is filed under the name Pan troglodytes (chimpanzee). Its description in RNAcentral is "processed transcript". The record is from RNAcentral. Lineage: Eukaryota; Metazoa; Chordata; Mammalia; Primates; Hominidae.
GCGGGGGCAGAGGCAUUCUUGCCGCUGGCCCAGUCACUAUGUAGUGGAGGGGCAGACACCCUCCCGCAAAUUCUGGAAGGUUCUUAGUCUCGACUAGGGCAGUAGCCCCAGGACUCCUAGUCGCCGGCUUCGGGUCACUGCCGGCUGAACGGAGCUGCCGUCGCCAUGUUUGGCUGCUUGGUGGCGGGGAGGCUGUUCUAAGAAGCCAGAAAGAUAAGUUGGAGAUGACUAGCCUCAUAAAGUUUGUCUCUUGAAUGACUGGGAGACCCCUGUGGUGAUGGUGGUAAUUCAUAAUCCUGGUGAGAUAAUUUUGCCCUGCUCUUAAUAGGGAAAAAGGACAAACCUGGAAUGAUUGUGUGACUCAGACGAGUGCAAACAGCUGCACAGCAAGUGGCAGAGGAUAAAUUUGUUUUUGACUUACCUGAUUAUGAAAGUAUCAACCAUGUUGUGGUUUUUAUGCUGGGAACAAUCCCAUUUCCUGAGGGAAUGGGAGGAUCUGUCUACUUUUCUUAUCCUGAUUCAAAUGGAAUGCCAGUAUGGCAACUCCUAGGAUUUGUCACGAAUGGGAAGCCAAGUGCCAUCUUCAAAAUUUCAGGUCUUAAAUCUGGAGAAGGAAGCCAACAUCCUUUUGGAGCCAUGAAUAUUGUCCGAACUCCAUCUGUUGCUCAGAUUGGCAUUUCAGUGGAAUUAUUAGACAGUAUGGCUCAGCAGACUCCUGUAGGUA